CUCCCCGUGUUAACAGACCCGGGACGGCCCGCCUGAGGACCCCUAAAACUCUGUUUCUAUAUGUAACUUCUGAGUAAAACCAUAAAUAAAUCAAAACUUUCAACAACGGAUCUCUUGGUUCUGGCAUCGAUGAAAAACGCAGCAAAAUGCGAUAAGUAAUGUGAAUUGCAGAAUUCAGUGAAUCAUCGAAUCUUUGAACGCACAUUGCGCCCGCCAGUAUUCUGGCGGGCAUGCCUGUUCGAGCGUCAUUUCAACCCUCAAGCCCCCGGGUUUGGUGUUGGGGAUCGGCGAGCCCUUGCGGCAAGCCGGCCCCGAAAUCUAGUGGCGGUCUCGCUGCAGCUUCCAUUGCGUAGUAGUAAAACCCUCGCAACUGGUACGCGGCGCGGCCAAGCCGUUAAACCCCCAACUUCUGAAUGUUGACCUCGGAUCAGGUAGGAAUACCCGCUGAACUUAAGCAUAUCAAUAAGCGGAGGAAA
RNAcentral lists this ribosomal RNA (476 nucleotides) under Fusarium incarnatum. RNAcentral's name for it is "eukaryotic LSU rRNA". The stretch from base 95 to 248 matches the Rfam family "5.8S ribosomal RNA". Lineage: Eukaryota; Fungi; Ascomycota; Sordariomycetes; Hypocreales; Nectriaceae. The record is from RNAcentral.